RNAcentral lists this ribosomal RNA (450 nucleotides) under uncultured bacterium. RNAcentral's name for it is "bacterial SSU rRNA". It matches the Rfam family "Bacterial small subunit ribosomal RNA", at positions 335 to 799 of the family's 1533-position model. The record is from RNAcentral.
ACUCCUACGGGAGGCAGCAGUGGGGAAUAUUGCACAAUGGGCGCAAGCCUGAUGCAGCAACGCCGUGUGAGUGAAGAAGGUUUUCGGAUCGUAAACUCUGUCCUAAGGGAAGAAACAAAUGACGGUACCUUAGGAGGAAGCCCCGGCUAACUACGUGCCAGCAGCCGCGGUAAUACGUAGGGGGCAAGCGUUUAUCCGGAAUCACUGGGCGUAAAGGGUGCGUAGGCGGCUUAGCAAGCCAGGGUGAAAGGCAUUGGCUCAACCAAUGUAAGCCUUUGGAACUGUUAAGCUUGAGUGCAGGAGAGGUAAGUGGAAUUCCUAGUGUAGAGGUGAAAUUCGUAGAUAUUAGGAGGAACACCAGUGGCGAAGGCGACUUACUGGACUGUAACUGACGCUGAUGCACGAAAAGCGUGGGUAGCGAACAGGAUUAGAUACCCUGGUAGCACAGAG